Molecule: ribosomal RNA, 456 nt
Filed under: Hippolyte ngi
Lineage: Eukaryota; Metazoa; Arthropoda; Malacostraca; Decapoda; Hippolytidae
Description: partial 16S ribosomal RNA
Rfam family: Bacterial large subunit ribosomal RNA
Source: RNAcentral
GGGCUGCGGUAAUUUGACCGUGCGAAGGUAGCAUAAUCAAUAGUCUUUUAAUUGAUGACUGGAAUGAACGGCGUUACGAGAAAUAAGCUGUCUUUUAGGCACAAAUUGAAUUUUACUUUCAAGUGAAAAGGCUUGAAUAGAAUUAAGGGACGAUAAGACCCUAUAAAACUUAACAUAAUAUCUCUUUUGGUAAUUUGAAGUGAAGUUAAAAUUGAAGUUAUAUUGUUUGGUUGGGGCGACCUAGAUAUAAUUAAGUAGCUGUCUAAAAAUAAAAAUAAUAAUAAUUUGUUUUGUGAACCUUUAUUAAGGAUUAAAAAAUUAAGUUACUUUAGGGAUAACAGCGUAAUUUUUUCAGAGAGUUCUUAUCGAAGAAAGUAGUUGCGACCUCGAUGUUGAAUUAAAAUUUCUUUUAAAUGAAGCAGUUUAAAUAGUGGGUCUGUUCGACCUUUAAAAUUU